AUUGAACGCUGGCGGCAUGCCUUACACAUGCAAGUCGAACGGUAACGCGGGGCAACCUGGCGACGAGUGGCGAACGGGCGAGUAAUGUAUCGGAACGUGCCCAGUUGUGGGGGAUAACUGCUCGAAAGAGCAGCUAAUACCGCAUACGACCUGAGGGUGAAAGCGGGGGAUCGCAAGACCUCGCGCAGUUGGAGCGGCCGAUAUCAGAUUAGGUAGUUGGUGGGGUAAAGGCUCACCAAGCCAACGAUCUGUAGCUGGUCUGAGAGGACGACCAGCCACACUGGGACGGAGACACGGCCCAGACUCCUACGGGAGGCAGCAGUGGGGAAUUUUGGACAAUGGGCGCAAGCCUGAUCCAGCCAUGCCGCGUGCGGGAAGAAGGCCUUCGGGUUGUAAACCGCUUUUGUCAGGGAAGAAAAGACUCCUGUUAAUACCGGGGGUUCAUGACGGUACCUGAAGAAUAAGCACCGGCUAACUACGUGCCAGCCGCCGCGGUAA
Molecule: ribosomal RNA, 498 nt
Filed under: uncultured bacterium
Lineage: Bacteria
Description: partial 16S ribosomal RNA
Rfam family: Bacterial small subunit ribosomal RNA
Source: RNAcentral